UGAAUACGAGACGCUACGGCGUCGAAGCAGUCUAUGUCAUACUUCCAAGAAAAGCUUGCACUGUCAUAAACAAAUAAUGCCUGUACCAUAACCGACACAGGUGGGUAGGUAGAGUAUACUAAGGGGCGCGAGAUAACUCUCUCUAAGGAACUCGGCAAAAUGACUCCGUAACUUCGGGAGAAGGAGUGCCUUAUUUAUAAGGUUGCAAUAACAAGAUCCAAGCAACUGUUUAUCAAAAACACAGGUCUCCGCUAAGUCGUAAGACGAUGUAUGGGGGCUGACGCCUGCCCAGUGCCAGAAGGUUAAAGAAGUUGGUUAGCAUUAGCGAAGCUGAUAACUGAAGCCCUGGUGAACGGCGGCCGUAACGAUAACGGUCCUAAGGUAGCGAAAUUCCUUGUCGGGUAAGUUCCGACCCGCACGAAAGGCGUAAUGAUUUGGAUACUGUCUCAGAGAGGGGCUCGGUGAAAUAGACUUGUCUGUGAAGAUGCGGACUACCUGCACCAGGACAGAAAGACCCUAUGAAGCUUUACUGUAACUUGAAAUUGAAAUUGGACUUUAUUUGCGCAGUAUAGGUGGGAGGCAUUGAUAAUAUUCUUGCGGGAAUGUUGGAGCCAUCAGUGAGAUACCACUCUUGUAAUGUUAGAUUUCUAACUUUGGAUCAUUAUCUGGUCAAAGGACAGUUUCAGGCGGGCAGUUUGACUGGGGCGGUCGCCUCCUAAAUGGUAACGGAGGCGCACAAAGGUUUCCUCUGAACGGGUAGAAAUCGUAUCUAGAGUGUAAAGGCAUAAGGAAGCUUGACUGUGAGACCUACAAGUCGAGCAGGGACGAAAGUCGGUCUUAGUGAUCUGACGGUGCUGAGUGGAAAGGCCGUCACUCAACGGAUAAAAGUUACUCUAAGGAUAACAGGCUGAUCUCCCCCAAGAGUUCACAUCGACGGGGAGGUUUGGCACCUCGAUGUCGGCUCAUCGCAUCCUGGGGCGGUAGUACGUCCCAAGGGUUGGGCUGUUCACCCAUGAAAGCGGUACGCGAGCUGGGUUCAGAACGUCGUGAGACAGUUCGGUCCAUAUCCGGUGUAGGCGUUAGAAUAUUGAGAGGAGCCUUCUUUAGUACGAGAGGACCGAGAAGGACAUACCUCUGGUGUACCAGUUAUCGUGCCAACGGUAAACGCUGGGUAGCUAUGUAUGGAGAGGAUAACCGCUGAAAGCAUCUAAGUGGGAAGCCCACCUCAAGAUAAGUAUUCUCAUC
RNAcentral lists this ribosomal RNA (1245 nucleotides) under metagenome. RNAcentral's name for it is "bacterial LSU rRNA". It matches the Rfam family "Bacterial large subunit ribosomal RNA", at positions 1564 to 2818 of the family's 2925-position model. The record is from RNAcentral.